RNAcentral lists this long non-coding RNA (1031 nucleotides) under Bos indicus x Bos taurus (hybrid cattle). RNAcentral describes it as "lncRNA (ENSBIXG00000021566.1)". Lineage: Eukaryota; Metazoa; Chordata; Mammalia; Artiodactyla; Bovidae. The record is from RNAcentral.
CUCAAAAGGCGAUGCUUCCUGAGAACAGCUGGAUCUUGAGUCUAUUUCAGACAACAUCCUCAAGCCCUGGGACCCUGGGAGCAUCUCCUUACUUUUUCUAAUAUUUGUGAGCCAUUUCCCCACCCCCUGCUUCUUUCUGCAUGCAUUUGCAUCAUCCAUCUCUGACUUCUUUCUAGGAGGUAAGAGGCCUGCUGUUCACAGUAGAAUUUCCCUGUGAUUGGCCACCAUCAGCGCCCACACGCCUGCAAGGUCCCGAGGAAGAGCCCAUGUGGACACCUCAGCCCUUACACUGGACCACUUUUGGUGGUCUCACCAGCCAGCCAUCAUCAGGGAGGAGUCCAUUCUCAGGCCAGGCCCUGCCGUCACCCCACAGCAGCCCUGCCAUGGCCCUUCUCUCCUCAAUGGCCUUCGAGGGAAAAGGAAGAAAUGUGUCUUGGCUGGAGGCCCACGUUUCGUUCCAGCACAUCCUUUUUACCAAAAGAGCCGUCCCUGGAGCUGCCAACAGUGUUUACAAGAAAACCAUCCAACAAUAGUUUGGAUCUGGGAGCGUGGCCUGACCACAGACGUGGCCUUCCCCACCCUGAGAACCAACCAUCAGGAAGCCUGGCACAUGAUACGAAAAGGCAGAGGUGCAGAAACAGACGCUGUGCAUGUCCCUGCAAGAGUGAUACAAGAUGACUGAGAAAUGUCAUCUGAGAGAAGGGGAAGAACCAGCCCUACAUUAAAAAGGUAAAGAAAUAGAAGAAAAAAAAAUCAUGAAGUCAGUGUGUAAUUAUAGUUGAUGCAUAUAUUGUAUUUUAUAAUGCCACCUGACCUGCCUCUUGAGAAAUCUGUAUGCAGGUCAGAAAGCAACAGUUAGAAAUGGACGUGGAACAACAGACUGGUUCCAAUAGGAAAAGCUGUACGUCAAGGCUGUAUAUUGUCACCCUGCUUAUUUAACUUGUAUGCAGAGUACACCAGGAGAAACGCUGGGCUGGAUGAAGCACAAGCUGAAAUCAAGAUUGCCAGGAGAAAUAUCAAUAACCUCAGAU